This 39099-nucleotide long non-coding RNA is filed under the name Xyrichtys novacula (pearly razorfish). Lineage: Eukaryota; Metazoa; Chordata; Actinopteri; Labriformes; Labridae. The record is from RNAcentral.
UCACAUCCCACUCAGCCAUCUGCAGAGGAGCAACACCUGCUCACCCUGUCAUAUAGAUGAAUUACAGGUAGGUAAAGCCUGAGCAUCAGACUGCCAGCACACGCCCACAUACAGUCACACACCAACACACAAUUAUACAAUCAGAGGCAGCCCAGGCCAUCUGACUGCUUCAACUGCGCAUGAUACACAUUGGAUUAGCUCUCAGACAUGCAUGAAACACACUUACCCACAGUUUACUGAGUGUGUCAGUGGAUGAGGAACUGUAUGCUGUACGCACAUGGUUGCACAUUCACAGGCUAAGUCAGGUUAAUUCCAAACACUUACAGACACAUUCAAAAACAUGUUUUUUUUCUCAGUUCUCAAAACCAGAAUUAUUUUUGACUAACUCUGUCCACAUAACAACAUACAGAUGGUUCAAAAUGAUUACACAGGCUUGACAGAGGAACUGUGUCCAUGAUUAUUGAAUGUCUUCUUGAGCAAGUGGUCAUCAUAAUCAGCUUUCUUUUUGUUGGAUGCAGAGUGGAAAAUUAAAACUACUAAGCGUGAAAUGUUAAUCCCCCCUUGCACUGAAGUAUAUAAAUUAAGUAAAGCUCAGUUUUCUUGCAAACAUCAAAGACAUCUACAGCAUUAGGGUUUCCUAAAACUUUGCACUGUACACAAGACUUUGCCUAAAAUUCAAAUUAGCUUUAGGCAAAAGGCCAGAACCAAGCAGCAACUUUAGGUCUUGAGAAAUGAAGCCAACAAGGAAUAAAAGUUCAGUUCUCUGAGUGACCACUUGAGGCUGGCUGCAAAAGGUGACAGUUGCCAACAGGCUUCAAAAAUCAGCCUCACAAACAAAUGACUGGAGUCACCAACACUACACUCCUGUAUUAUAAAGUCAACGGUAAAAAUACUAAGAACAGAAAUGACUCCUCAGAUAUUGGCCUUAGUGCCUGCUCUUAGUGUCUUUAGUUUGUUUUUUACUGUUUAAACGAGGUGGGUUUUUAUAUCAAAGUCAGUCUGAGAAUUAUAACUGCUCACGUUUUACACAAAAUGAAGGUCUUAUUUAGUAACUCCAGCCAAUACAGACAUUUCAUUGUUCUAAGACACGAAGGAUCUUUUGUGCCAGUGAUGUUAGCAUUGAUUUAAAUGGUUCCUUAUGUCUUUAUUUAGAGUUAAUUUCACCUCUGUCUCUGUGUAAAUCAGCCUUACAGAAAAGAAAAAAUAAAACAUUCAGGGGUAUUUUACUUACUGGUGAGUCUUGAUGAACAUCAUUAGACUAAACUUUUAGUGAUUAGGAAAUAGAGACAGAGCUGCAGAUACCCAGUACAACAUUUUCAGUCAGUGCAAACUGGAAAGAUAUCAUUUUUCAAUUGAAGAAAAACAUAUGAGGUGUAGGAGUCAAAGAGGUGGAAACAGAGAGAACUAUGAAUGCUGAACCUAAACCCGACUGGUGAAUGUGUCACUGUCAAAACCUCUACACCUCAUUCCCUCCAUGUUUGCUUUACCCAGAAGCCUGAACCAGACUACUUUCCUUCUGUCUGUCUAAGUUCAUGGCGCCAUGUUUGCCCCCAUCCAGUGAGAGGAAAGACUAAAAAAACAAAACAAAACAAAAAACCUGUCAAAUGUACUUACUCCUCUCGUCUGUACUGAUGGACAAAGACAAAAAGAGUCCGAGCAUAGAGGACAGAUGGCAAAUAUGAGGUACAGAGCUAAGACCUGAGGGCAUUUAGGUAAAAAAAAUCAUGAAACCCCAUCCAGUGGAGCACCUCUCCCUUUUUCAUCUUCAUGUCUGUCUCAUUUGCAGCUUUUUAUUCAUUUACCUCUCCUGGUUCACAGCUUUCCUGCUCUGACACUAUGAUGUUCAUGCAACUGUAGGAUGUGGUGAUUUGUCAGCAAAGAGUUAUGGUUUUGCUAUUCUCAGUUCCUGGUUGGUACGAUUGGAGUGGACUGUCCAAUAUGUCUCUGUCACACCAAAGCACCGUCCAUAAAGCUUUUCUGUUCCUCUUGAGCAUUUUUCUUUUUCAGGCUGAGGGACAUUGUGUUUCUUUCUCCGUCUUUCCCUCUCAUUUUUGCUUGUUUUAUGAUGCAGCUUUAGUCAUCCAUCCAAAACUUCAGCUUGCAUGAUGUUUUACAUCCUCAAAUGGGCAAGGGGAAAAUUUCUCCAUAUUAAAAACCGCUUUGAAAGCCGUUCAUGUCUGUCGUAAAGGGUGUAAAUGUGUUGCAGUGAUUUCUCCCUCUGCUCACUGCAGCAGUCAUUUCUCCUUUUUUAUAUUUACAGGGCGGCUCAUUCUAGAUGUAUAUCUGCUCUGUUCAUUUAGUUGGCAGGUGUGUGUUGUGAUCCGAACUGCCAGCAGUCUGCUGUUUGCGUGAUUGAGAUCUUUACUGAGAGAUUUUUUUCCAUUUCCACAUAACACAAUCUGAUCAAAGGGACAUUGUGUUUAACCCUUGGUUCCUAUACCUUAUUCGUUUUACGGUCAAUGAAGUAAGCUGUGUUUAACAUAGGCCCCCUUAAACCUCUAUUUUAAACAACAACAAAAAAAAAUAUGUUAUUUCAUGCAACAGUUAACUCUUUCUAAACUCAAUGGGAUAGUGGAACAAAUCUGCAGCGGUGCCCAGAUGGCAACAGAUAUACUGGAUCCUCCAACACAAGUCACAACUCCUUCUCAGACCAGAGUACUGCCAAGAUCUCAGCUGAAGUGACCCGCCUUCACCUGCUAUGGGAGGGAUGGCUGUUGCAGGCUUGAAGUCAGAAAUUCUUCUUACUGUAAAAGCAGACAUUUCAACAGUGACACGGCCAAACUGAGGAAGGGCCUUGCCAAUGAUUUCCAAAUUCUCAAAAAUGAACUGAAGGCGGUGAAAACGGCGGUAAUAACACCACAGCGCCAAAGCCUGAGAUUGACUAGGUGAAAGAGGCUAACUGAAGUGCUACAAUUGGACAAAGAGCGGCUGAUUGAUCGCUCAAAGGCUAAGGGCGUUGCUGUUAUGAUCAGAAAAAUCAUACAGUUCACAGUAUCUUAUGUGCAAACUGACUCUGCAGGGCGAUAUACCAUCGUAAUAGUAAGAUUAUACACACUCCCAGUUAUUUUAGCCUGUAUUUAUGCCCUAAUGUGGGAUGACCCUACACUCUUCACCAAUGAUUAUUGUCUUACUAACCAGAUAUGCCAACACAUGAUCUUACACUUGGUGGUGACAUUAACAGUGCACUUUCUCCUCAUUUGGAUAGGAGUAUUUCUUGAGGGGCAUCCCUAUUGAAGUCAGCACACUAUUCAGCUCCUCCUGAAGACUGAUGGUGUAGUGGCUGUGUGGCGGUUUUGUAACCCCACCUCCAGGGCUUACUGUUACUUUUCCCUACUUCAUAAAGACAUAUGUCUUAUGCACGACAAGUCUACCAGUUUUUCACACAGUGGGGGGCAGGCCACAGCAGAGCCAACGCCACUCAACUCUAAAAUUGCCUCGAUCCUUGGAACAGCCAGUGUGUCCGGUGUGGUUUCACAGGCAGAACUCACAGGGUCCUGAACGGCUCCGCUCCGCUCCACCAUGGCCAGCGUAUCAAAUCCGCAAGCAUUAUAAUCAAUGUGAGUCAUUCCACAGAAUCCGUCUGGCAUUCAGUUCCCCUGCGGACUGGCUCUGGCGGCUGGAUCAGAUAUGCAGGGCUUCUAUUUUUGGCGUAUCAAUUCAGUGCAGCACUGCACAAGCAGCAGUGGAAGUUUUAUGCGGUUACAGAGUAAAAUAUCCGGUUAAUUUUCAAAAUAAAAUAAAGUCAAUACAUUGAACUGUUCUUAACUUGAUAAAGGGAGAGGCCAAAAUUGUGGGAUGUGGGUGAUUAUAAACACUGUUGUUUAUAUACAUCACCAUUUAUAUACACCAAUCAGCGGAUCUUAUUCUAUGACUCCCAGGGAAACAUGGGAAAGCUCAUGAGAUCUCGUCCAGUCCCAUGAGAAAUGUUGGUAAUCUCGUGAGCACUUCUCCUUUGAUGGCGGUGGUGGAUCGGAUCCGAUGGGCGCUGUAUGCUUGCGGAGCCGAUCCCCCUGCUGGUCCAGAGCGGAGCCGUUCUGGAUCCUGUGAGUUUAGCCAGUCAGUGAGGGAGCGGUGGGUGAGGCGUAGGUGGAGGAGGUUCCCAGUAUGUCUGGCACACUGACUGCAGGCCCACCUGCCCCUAGCGGUGGGUCCUCACCAAUAGAGUCCUUCAGACACAGAGGGACACCAUGAAGGCAAUUAGAUCAGUCAGAGACGAACUGACACAAAUACGCAUGGUCAUGCAAAACAUUAGAUACCAAAAAGAUCACAGUGUUGGUUCUACUGGAUGUAAGCGCCGCUUCUCACACAGUAGACCAUCUCAUUUAGUAAAUAGACUUUGGCACCUUGUAGACCUCUCUGGUACUGUUUUUAAAUGGUUUUGUUCUUAUCUCACCGAUCAAUAUAUAUACUGUAUAUAUGUAAAUGUAUUAGAUGGAAAUGGAAAUAGAAUACAAUGAUUUUCAAAUCCUUUUCAACCUAUAUUCAAUCGAAUAUACUCCAAAGACAAGAUAUUGAAUUUUCAAGCUCAUAAAUCUCUUUUUUUUUUUUUUUUUUUUGCAAAUAAUAAUUAAUAUCAUGGCUGCAACAAGUGCCAAAGUAGUUGGGUCAGGGGCAUGUUUACCACUGAGUUACAUCACCUUUCUUUUUAGCAACACUCAAUAAACGUUUAAGAACUGAGGAGACUAAUUGUUGAAGCUUUGAAGGUGGAAUUCUUUCCCAUUCUUGCUUGAUGUACAGCUUCAGUUGUUCAACAGUCCGGGGUUUCUGUCGUCGUAUUUUAUGCUUUAUAAUGCGCCACACAUUUUCAAUGGCAGACAGGUCUGGACUGCAGGCAGACUAGUCGAGUACCCGCACUCUUUUACUAAAAACCCACACUGUUGUAACAUAUGCAGAAUGUGGCUUGGCAUUGUCUCUCUGAAAUAAGCAGGGGCAUCGAUGAAGAAGACGUUGCUUGGAUGGCAGCAUAUGUUGCUCCAAAACCUGUAUGUACCUUUCAGCAUUAAUGUUGCCUUCACAGAUGUGUGAGUUACUCAUGCCUUGGGCACUAAUACACCCCCAUACCAUCACAGAUGCUGGCUUUUGAACUUUGUGUCAAUAACAGUCCGGAUGGUUCUUUUCCUCUUUGGCCUGGAGGACACGACGUCCACUAUUUCCAAAAACAAUUUGAAAUAUGGACUCGUCAGACCACAGAACACUUUUCCACUUUGCAUCAGUUAUGAACUGAUCAUAAACUGUAUAUACUAUGGACAACUUGGUUCUGCCUACCGCCUGUAUACGGAUUUGAAGCCAAAAAGCUCUCUGUAUUUCCGUGAUUUUUCUUCAUUUCCUGAAACCAGCGCUGCGCAGUAGCACAUUCGGCAGGAGAGUCGCCGAGAGUCGCUGUGAUGACGCUCGGCUCAAACAGCGUAUCCCCUGGGUGAGCUACGCAAUUCCUGAACGCCCAUAGGCUGUAUCAGGUGUCAAUCAUAGAAAACAUGAACCCCCUAAUAACCUUUAAAAACUGAGCUUCAAAGAAAAAAAGAGGACUUGAGCACAAACCAGUCUUACAAUAAUUACAUGUGAACAUCACAAGCAGGGGGGAGAAAAAUGUAUAUUCUGUGUAAUAAAUUUCUAAAGUUUGUCCACAGUCCCAUAAGCUUUGCUGGCGGAGGCGGGAUUUAUACUGCAGCCCAUCAACAGAGGGUGCUGUUCUCAGAGUGGCUUCACCCAGCAAGGAGGCAGAUGCUGUCCAUUCUAUAUACGGUCUAUGGCAGUGAUUUCUCCAGAUUCUCUGAACCUUUUGAUGAUGUUAUGGACAGUAGAUGUUAAAAUCCCUAAAUUCCUUGCAAUUGUACUUUGAGAAACGUUGUUCUUAAACUGUUGUUCACAGAGUGGUGAACCUUGCCCCAUCCUUGCUUGUAAAUGACUGAGAAUUUGGGGGAAUUCCCAAUUAGCCUGCUCACCUGUGGGAUGUUCCAAAUAGGUGUUUGAUGAGCAUUCCUCAAAUUUCUCAGUAUUUUUUGCCACCUUUCCCAACUUCGUUGGCACGUGUUGCAGCUAUGAAAUUCUGAGUUAAUUAUUAUUUGCAAAAAAAUAGUGUAGUGUAUUCAAUUAAAUAAAGGUUGAAAAGGAUUUGCAAAUCAUUGUAUUCUGUUUUUAUUUAUGUUUCAGAAUUUCCCAACUUUAAUGGAAUUGGGUUUUGUAUAUAUACUUUUUUUUUUUUUCAUAUGACAGGCUUUAGCUGCUUGCUUAUCUUCAUCAACUUGAAGCAAGAGAAGAAGAUCUGCGAGGGUAGGGAGGUUGUCUCUUCUCUGCUCUAGCUGGAGGUCACUGAUGAGAGCACUGCCCCAGCAUUCAAAACAACUUGAAGACGAUGCAAAUAAUCUGAAGGUUCUUCACCAGAAUUCUGAAAAGUGUUCAAAUUUUGCAAAACACUCAUCUCCAUCUUCUACAGUACCGUAUGCUGAGUCUAAAGCUCAAGGUAAGCUUUGGGCAAAGCUUGGGGACCAAGUUGUUUGAAGACAUCAGGUGCAGAAGGUGACAUCAGACUAUAUACAAUCUGCCGUGAACACUCCAAAUCGGACACAGAAGGAUCAGUGAGAAACAAAUCCACAUUGGUUCUCCAGGUAUCAUAAUCAGUUUCAUAACUGACGUGUGAUUUUUCCAGAAAAGCUCUAAGGCGGGAGAAGCCAUAGACAUGGGACAUAGCAUUAUCAGUCUUGACAAUGUGCUCUAUAACAACUUUCUGGAUCUCAAGUGGGCUAACUGCAUCUCCUGGGAGAGUAAAAGGACAUUUUUCUGUGGUAGGAAGCACAAAGAAAGAAGCAAAGUCAGUGGUCAGACUUUUUUGGGGUUUGUUUGGUUGAGGUUGAAUUUGAGGGUCUGGCACUGGAAGUUUUAUUUCAGGUUUUAUUGGGAGAUGUUUUUUCCUGUUUGAGAUCAGCUUUUGACUCCAUGGAGGAAGGGGUUAUAACAGUUAGCUUUGCAAGUUCCUCUUGAAGCAAAGUCUCUAGGGGUUUUUCUGUUAACUUGGAGAUUGCCUGCAAUUCUUCAAUGCAGCUCUUGGUGGCCCUUGUGCAAGCAAGUGGACUGUAAGUACCAGCUAAUGAACAUUCUUGAAGGUGAUAUCUAGUUUAGAUAGACUAUGGAAAAGGCAGUAAAGAUGAAAGUGACUACAUUGCAGUACCAAAAUUAAACUCUACGAUUGCACUUCCAUGAUGCUCAGACUUGGGAUUAUCAAUGUGCAAAACCCUAUUAAUGAAACCAAGUACUUGGUACUUUUCUAAGUACUUCACUGAGUUUGGCACGUUUAUGGACUCUUGCAUCACAGUUUCCAUGAUUGACACGUAAUAUGUCUAUUAAUUUUCAAAACCAGCUCCUGGCUAGCUUGCCAAUUUAUGUAACACUUAUGAAAUAUAUACUAUAUUUAUAUUAUGAUAUAUUAGAUAAUGCUUUAUGAAUUUUAAAUUUAAAUUAUAAAUGAUUAUACAUAUAACACAAGGUAAGAUUUGGGCUAGUGGUUUGGCUCUGGAGCUGGGUAGAAAUUAAUAGACACAAAUGAAAAAUGUGACUUAUACCAACUGUAUUGAAAAACUCAAAAUACUUGAUAGAAUACCAGGAAAAUACAUUAAAAAUAAAGCAAAAUUUUGAAAUGCAAAUAAAAUAUAUCAAUCAAAUUUCAAUUUAAAUGCACUGAAAUAUCAAAAAGUUCCUUUUAAGUUAGACCAGUUAUCUUUUUUCAGUUAAACAAAAUUCACAUUUAAUAAAAAACAGUUCAAUUCAACUCACUGACCCCAAUUUACUGAGCAGACCUAAUAAAUAGCAUACCAUAGGGCAGUACAUUUAAAAAAUCUUGCCUCAUAAACAAGUUCAUUUUUACAAACCUGUUUGCCAAAGCAACACAGACAAACACUCUUGUGUCCUGGUCCCAGAAGCUAUGAAUUGAACCGAAUUCUGAAACGUUCAGCUGUGUAUCAGUUCAGGAGGUCAGAGUCGCAGACUUCUCCAACAAAAUGAUUCAGUGAUUUGGUGAACAAAUCUUUUUAGUGAACUGGUUCUAGUGAUUCAGUACAUCCAAAAGAACUGCCGUGCCCAUCACUAGGUCCAAGGUUAAGUAAAGAAUGUCCAGAUCCAGUUUCCUGUGGGUUCAUUUUCUUUUUUUUCCCCAAGUUGGGAAAAAUUGUGGAGGAAAGUUUGGUGAGAUCUCGUUGUUGAGAUACUGCUGCUGCUGCUCACAGACUGAGUUGGUGUGAAUGACUGAUCAGGGAGGUGGUUAAGAGCUGGUGAGCUGCUGCACAGAGGGAACGAGGAGGUUCACUGGUGAGAGGUUGUGAUUUGUGCUCUAUGGGUUUGACUGACAGGGAAGGUGUCCAAUGGGGGGUGAAGGGAUGAAAGGGAGCAGAAAUAUGUGGAUUGAGGAUGAGGAUAUGAGGAUUUUGUAACCUGGGUUACAAUUAACUGUAAAAAAUUACAUAUUUUAUUUUUGAUAAGAUCCUGCAGACAGUUUUCAUUGAACUUGGCUUCACUGCAGAGGGAUGGUGUGUGUGUGUGUGUGUGUGUGUGUGUGUGUGUGUGUGUGUGUGUGUGUGUGUGUGUGUGUGUUUGUCUGCAUGUGUGUGUGCAUGCGUGUGUGUGUGUACGUGUGUGUUGUAGAAUAAUUUAGAUAGUUGAUCAUUACCAUUUCCAAGGAGCAUUUACAGAGAAUGUCUUGAUUUUGAAUCCCUGAUCACGAUGCAUGCACACAAAGGGAACUUAAUUGGGAAAGACUAAAGUGCACUUUCUUAACAAAGUUUCCUUUUUUUUAAUUCCAUCUCUUGCUGAAAACAAAUCAGUUCAGUGUUAUCUCCUAAGGGACUCUAUCUUUUUUUGCACCCUCUGUUUGGUCCUUCCCUCUGCCUAACUGAAGCACAUUGUUUCUAUCACCUUCUACCUCUCUUUCCUGCCUCGGUCUCACACUUUUAUUCAGAGUGUACUUUUCAAAGUCAUCUUACCAUUGUAUUCAAUGGCAAUGCAGCAACACAGCUCUCUGCAUCCAGAUUUCUGGCAUUUUUGAAACAGAGGUACUGUUUUUUUUAUUUUUUAAACUUUCCACAGACGUGUCUCUCACUAUGUACGAUGUGCUAACCUUUACAGAGAAGAGACAUACUUCUUACCUGAAAAAGGAUGCCGGGAGUAGUGGCAUUCAGAAGAAACUUCUCCCUAACUUUUUUUAUUUUUUUUCUGAACAUCUUACUUUGCUGAAUAACAAACAAGUACAUACAGUUUCUUACUUCCCAAAGGCCAGCACAACAAGUGCUAAAAGACUCAAAUUUAAAACUGUUCUGGACUAAAAUAGAACAAAACAAGAAUCAUUCAACCCUGUACUUUAAACUCAGCAUGUCACUACUGCCGUGUGGUACUAAUCUUUUGUGUCCUGUUCCUACAGACAUAUGCUUUCAACCAAUCAAGAUUUUAUACAGAGAAAUGAAAUAAAAAAAAAAUAAAAAAAACUCACUUCAGCCAGCCUUGGAGUUAAAGAGAAAAAGGCGUUAGGCGUGAAAUUCUGUAUAAAGUAAAUUCAAUUGUACAAAGCACUGCAUGAGAGUACAAGCAGAGAAAAGAGAAGAGAAAAGCAAGUAGGUGGCAGAAAAAGAAAGAGCAGGCUGCAGAGAGGGAUAAUUUCGAAACAACAGGCAUAAAGACUGUGAUUUUUAUGAAGGGUCGUGUGUGUGUGUGUGUGUGUGUGUGUAUGUGUGUGUGUGUGUGUGUGAACAGUCAUGGUCAAAUGAUUAGCCCACCCGUGUUUUCCUCAAUUUCUUGUUCACUUUAAUGCCUGAUAUCACCAAAGGUUUAUCACCUGAGGAAUACAAUGAACGUAACUAAAAAUUCAGCUUAUUUCACGAUAUUUUAUGUCCUGUUUGACACACAUGAGCUUAAUUGUAUUCCCAGGCUGGUGCGGCUUUAUGCACAGGCUGGCCUAGGCUGCAGCCCAGGGGCCCCACAUGUGCAGGAGUCCCAGAUUGGCUUCACUAUUUUACAUUUUCCCUAAACAGAAACAGCAAAAAUGACCUGUAUUGGCCCAUAAAAUAAAUAAACAAUUGAUUGAAAGGAUGUGACCCAAGUGUUAAAUCUAUCCAAUCUGUUGUAUUGGUCACAUCAUGUGGCAUGUCAGUUAUUUUUAGUUGUCAUUUGACAGAGAGAAAGUAUGACAGUGGACCCUCCAAACAAAAACAGCAACAAUCAAAAGAACAACAUGAUGAAGAGCUUAAAUUAACUGGAUGUUUCAAGCCUUCAUUGAGUCAAAAAGUUGCAAUCGCGGAGGAUGAAACACCUAUAGAUGCACAGGGAUCCUUAGCUAGCUCAUCUCCUCUGUAAUAUUUAAGGGAAUUUUAUGUCACAAAACGCAUAUCAUAUAUAAUGUGGGAGUGCGCAUGUAUUUGGGUUGCUUCCUUGUCACUCAAUCAUGGGUAAGAAAGGCUGUGGGCCUGCAUAGGGUUAGGGUCUGCUUUCCUCACUGCGAUUUGCCGCUGGGAGGCUGAUAGGGAGAUCUGUCUAACACACAGUCCAAAGAAAUACUCCAUAGCUACUAUAUGUUGCUUUAUUUACAAAGAAGGUUGCCAUAGCAAAAACGUGUUGUCUCUCCUCAAUCUCUAGUCGUGGUAACAGCUGCUGUUUGCUGAGGUUGGAACACUGAGCUAUGAGCUGUUUCGGUGUUAGCAUUGACUGCGGUUGAUGACUGCGGUUGACACUGGUUGAUGUAACUUGUUUCUUACAGAUGUGUGUCAUGCAGGAGUCGAACCCCUACCUGCUUGACUAAAUACAUAUAUAUGUGUGUGUGUGUGUGUGUGUGUGUGUGUUAUUAACUUGUUCUGUCUCCACUUCAUGCGCCAUUUUCAAUUUCUACCAUAGCCAAUAGUUUUCCAUCUUUAACCUUUGUUGUCUUUCCUUUACUGCCCCCAUUUUUUCAUCCGAAUAUUCUUAUAUUCUUACUUCUUUCUAUGCAUAAUUGUGAUCAAAGUUAGUCCAAUAGGUGGCUCAGCCUUAACUCACAGACUGUGAGCUCUGCCUCUGUGACUUCAGAUUCCUUUGGCUCUUCUCCUUGGCUGUUUUGUUGUUGCUCAAUUUAGAUCAGUCUAAGUUUACCUUGAUGCCAGUGAUUUGUGGAACCACUUAAGGGCUGUUUACACUGAAACACAAACUUUAUUACUACUUUUCGUGGCUGGUUGUUUUCAUUAAACAGUAUUUGAGUGGCUGAAUGUGCAGCCAGUCAGGUAGUUUGUACUUUAAGUCCCAUUGAAAUAUGCCUUUAUGCACAGGAAAAGGUGUUCUUCAUUGUUGUUUCAAAUCAAAGUGCCAACUAGAAACAUGCUUAUACAGUAUCAAAAUUUACCAUUUUAAAUGAGACUGUUCUUGUCUGAAUAAGGCUGUUUUUUUACUGUAGGGUUACCCAUUCCCCCUGCUUUCUUAUUCUUGUACUCUUUCUGACUGUCAGCUGCUGUUUGGUCCAUCUGUCUCUCUGUUGUACAUCCUUACCCUGCAGUUCAAUGGUUCUGCUGCCCAGUUUUGAAAAAUGGUGUGUAUAAGAUGCUUUCAAGCCUCACACAUUUAUUACCAGCUGUGACCUGAACAGCCUUAGAUACUGAGGAUAACAGUAAUAGCAGUAUGAUAUUAAUAAUUCAAAAGAGGGUUGCUUCAACAUCCUGCUGACAGCACAUGGACAAGAGACGGGUAAACUAUACUGUAGGUAAGAACUAGAAUAGUACCGCAACAAAAGCAGCUCAAACCUGUGAAACUGAUACAGCCACAGCUGACAACAGACACAAAGAAGCUAAUUAUUGAUGUGGUGCAGCUCCUGAGACUAGGAUCACAGAACAAGGGCUGACAAAGUAAUGAGCCAAAGCUGAGAGAGACAGGGAGACACACUGAGGACAUCUAAUGGACAGGUAAAGAAAGACAAGUAAAAAAAAAAUAGAAUAAAUAAAUUAAGACUACUGACUGUAGCAGUCAAAAAAGCUACAAAAUUGCAAUUAACAGGAAAUUCAGAUUGAUCUAUUCCUGGUGUACUUCUCAGCCAUCUAGUUGAGAUAUUUCUGCAACUGGCAGGUAAAAAAGAUAAUCAUAACUGUAAUAACGUUUUCAAAUGACUGUAUCUGGUGAAAAGGAUAUGGACAAAGACACUGCAUAGAAAUUGUAACAUGAUUUUAAGAGUGCCAGAAAAAAAGGCAUCACUAAAAAUACCAUAUUUUACAGAGGAGUUCUUAUGUGUUGGUGUUGUAGUCUUAUUUAAAGCAGUGUUUUAGUACUGUAUGCUCUAGUGUUCAAACACUUGAGUUUGAUAUUGAGUCUGGUGAGAUCCAGAUUUUUAUACCUGAUAUAUUUUUUUGUAUUUCUAAAUAACUGGGUCUGGGUCGGCUUCCACCAGAUGCACCAAGGUCUCUGCUGAACAAGACUUUCAUCCUGAAGGAUUAUUUCACCUCGCCAGCCCUGGAUUUUCUGUUCUGUAAUUUACUGGCCGCCAAAGUACAAUAAGGACUUUAUUGAUCAAUUCUCUGACAUCUUGGUUGGUAGUGCCAAAUUAUGACACUAUCUUGAUUGUCAGAAAUUUCAGUGUUCAUGUCUGCUGUCCACAGAAGCUGCUGGCUUAAGACUUUUUAAAUAUUGUUGACGCUUGUAACCUUGUGCAACAUGUUUCUGGAGCCACACAAGAGCACACACUAGACCUGGUUUUAUCGUGUUGUUUACCGAUUAUGUCUCUUCAGGUAUGCAAUGCCUUUUUUUCUGACCAUAUGCCUGUAUAUUUUGAAUUUAUUCCACCUGGUCUGGUGACUAAACCGUGUGCUCCUACAGGUGCUGGAUAGUCAAUCCUUCCACAGCGGCUCUCUUUUCUGCUGCCUUUAAUGCAAUGGUGUCUGGCACUGAGCCACUUAGUGGACCAAACACUGAACAGUUAAUCUCCUGCUUCCUUAGCACUUGAGGUAAUAUUCUUGAUGAUGUCACUCCUCUUAUAAUGAUGCCCCCAAUCCCAUAUCCAAGCUGUGGCUGAAUGACAUCACUCGUGCUGCUAGACACGAGUGCAGACAGGCAGAGCGCAAGUGGAAAAAAAAAAAGGUUCAAGAGUCUUAUGAAAUCAUGAGAGACACCUGGAAAAAAAAUAUCAGAGUUGUUAAAGAACACAAGACUACACAUUUUUCUGAUAUAAUUUCAGUCAACCUUCAUAAUUCACGCGUUCUUUUAAAACUUGAUUCCAUUUUAAAUGCCUCUCAGUCCAAUUAUCUUGAAGCUUCACCUGAGGUCUGUGAAAAAUGUCUUUGCUUUUUUAUUGAUAAAGUCAGAAAUAUCAGAGCACUCAUAUCCCCACCUUUGCAUGACCCUUAUGUUGCUUGCCCACUCUCUGCCCACUCUUCACAAAAUUGUCAAUCAGCGUAAACCUGCUGGAUGUCCCAAUGAUGUUUUCCCCCCUCGCCUCUUUAAAGAGGUUUGGGUUACCAUUGUUCCUAUAGUCCAACAAAUUAUAAACUGCAGUUUUGCUUCAGGCAGUGUUCCUCCUUAUUUUAAAAAAGCGGUAGUGGAACCUUUAAUUAAAAAAUCCUAUCUAGAUCACUCUAUUGUGUCUAAUUUCAGACCUAUAUUGAAGCUUCCUUUUAUCUCAAAAAUCCUUGAGAAAGCAGUGCUCCUUCAAAUCCAGUCUUAUUUAGAUGAUCACGGCAUUCUUGACAUUUUUCAAUCUGGUUCUAAGGCAUUUCACAGCACUGACUCUGCACUUUGAAAGGUUUUUAAUUAUCUUGUACUGACUCUGGUGACUCAACUCUUAAUGCUUUUAGAUCUAACAGCUGCAUUUGUAGAUCACACAACUCUCAUUGCUCGCCUCGAACACUGUGUCGGUUUAACAGGUACAGCUCUUAACUGGUUCAGGUCCCACUUGUCUGAGAGGUGUUUAAAAGUGAACUUUGGUGACUGUGUCUCUUCUUGUGCCCCCCUACCUGUGGAGUACCCCAAGGCUCUAUUCUUGGUCCCAUCCUCUUCUCCCUAUACCUUCUCCCACUUGGCUUGAUUUUUACCAUCUGUAUGCAGACGACACUCAGAACUACCUCCCAUGCUUACUAGAUUCUAGAUGGCCAACAGGAAAGAUGGGAUGGUGGGGAGACUGAUUUCAUUAUGAAGUGUUUACACAUUGCACUGAAGUUGCCUGUUCACACAUUUCACUGGUCACACAAUACUGACCUAUUGACAUAUUGGAGACUGGAGACAGCUUACAACCACACCUUAAUUAACACCUGUUCCAGAACAAUGCUACAAAUGCACCAGGAGCAUCCCCCACAACUGCUUUGACUUAGAAUUGAUAGGAGCAUUUUCUUAUCAAUAGAGACUAAAACAAAGGGGAGACAUGCACAAACAGAAUUUCUUUGUUAGAAAGUCCUGCAUUUUGUGAUGAGGAGAAAAUACUGAGAGUGUUGAAGGUGGUUAGAAAUCAUUAUAAGUAAAUGAAAAUGUUUAGAUACAGCAAUAUAUAUUAAUAUAUAGUUUCUAAUACAAUAAAAUAUGUAAUCCAAUAUAAGGCUAAGGCUAGAAUAUGUAAAUCAUGUGUAGUUUAAAGAUAUAUUGUGAACGUUUUAAUUGAAGUUCCUCUCAAGACACUCCUCUCAAAAACAGGGCUGUUUUGGCUACCACUUUGACCCAACGUUGUAAUAUUGCAACAAUUAUAAAACAAGCUCUAAAUAAAAUGUAGGGCAUAUUUACUGCAACAACUACAUAUGUUCAUGUUCUAGACAUUGUAACAAACACAAAAAAAUAUUCAAAGCAUUUUACUUACUUGAUUCAGAUGAAUCCAGUCCAGUAAAUCGAAGGGAUGUUGCUCGAUCAAAAAAAUUGAGGUUGUGUGACUUCUUCACCUGAGGGCGGGCCUUAUAUAAAAAUGUUGGAUCCAAUCGCAUUGUGAGAACAAACAAUAGGACCAAAUGAUCAUGUAAAUUUGGUUGAACUAAAAAAAAAAUUAUAAAUUAGAGUUUUUUUGGGGAUAACCAAAAUUGUUGUAAUCCUGCAACACUGUGUCUUACAGGGUUGAAUCUUGGUGUAAAAGUUGACAAUGAUUUUAAAUCGGAUCAACAAAUUAACUCUGUUGUUAAAUCCAGUUUUAUUAUCUGAGGAUUUUGAGUGAAUAUUUUUAAAUCAGUUUAACCUGUUGAUGAUUUUAAGUGAGUAAUUCAUGCUUUUAUUUCGACACGGUUGGACGAUUGUAAUGCUGCUUGUCUUUUAACAGGUAAAAGAAAACAUGAAAACAUAGUAUUCAUUUUAAAAUGUUAUUGUUUGUUUUUUAAACGGAUCAGCACCACAGUGCAUCUCCAACCUCUUAAAUGUUAAAACCCCCACACAUUCCUGGAGGUCUGCUGAUCAGCUUCAACUUGUCCCAAUAACUCGUUUAAAAACCUGAGGUGAUUGAGCUUUCUCAGCUGUGCCUUCCAAAUUGUGGAACGAAUUGCCACUCAAGAUUAAAACAUCCCCCACCCUCCAUAGUUUUAAAUCAUGUCUUAAAACUCCUUUUUGUUCCUUGGUUUUUAGUUCAGCAUGAGAGUUGUGGGAUCUCUGUCCUUUUAUGUCUUUUAUGGUCCUCUUAUCACUUUUAUUCCUUUUAUGCUUUUGUCUUUUUAUUUCAUUCAUUUUAUUUCAUUUUAAAUGGUUUUUACCUGCUUUUAUUUAUUUCCUCUUGAUGUUUUCUGCAGUGUUUUAUUUUACUGUGCAGUACUUUGGUAAACUUGAAUGUUUUUUUUAAAACAUGCUAUAUAAAUAAAGUGGAUUGGAUCAGAUUUGACACAGAUCCAACCAACCAACCAACCAAUUAACAGACCAGCCAAUCAGCCAACACUAUUAAAGGGAUAUUCCAGCAUAAAAUUAAGUUAGGGUCAAACACACCAUAACACCGAGUCAGACACCCGUCGAGAGAUGAAUGUUGCCAACAGCUUGCUUCUCAAGAUACACCAAUUUUAAUAACGGCCGCACGAUAGCAACACAAAGAGCCAUGCGCUUAACCAAAAAGCCACUCUAUAGCCACAAAUAAUGCUCAGAACAGCACCUAACUUCAGUACAUAUAGGGUCACUAGCCACCAAAUAUCUUUUUAGGUUUGCCUAAUUUCUUUAGCAAAGAGACUAAACACAACUAACCCACUCUCUUCCAGCAGCUGCUUGUUUGUACGGAGUCCUCUGGGUGAGUCCAUAGACUACAGCAUGGUGAUGCAGCUCAAGGAAGAACAUUUAUGAUUAUUUCUUUAUCAUUUCCUUGAAGUAAUAAUCACCAUAUUAAUCAUUUUGCACUGGAGACGCAAAAGUUAUUCUGCCUUAGCGUCUUGGUCUGAUUGCAUUUCCAUGAGGAAAUGAUCAUAAAUGUUUUGCUUUGAGCUGCGUCCCCCCACUGCAGUCAAUGGACUCACCCAGAGGUCUCCAUACAAACAAGCGGCUGCUGGAGGAGAGUGGGUGAGUUGUGUUUAGGCUCUUUGCUAAAGAAAUCAAGCAAAUCUAAAAAGAUGUUUGGUGGCUAGUAUUAUGGCUGGGACCCUGUAUGUACUGUUGAUGAAGUUAGGUGCUGUUCUGAGCAUUAUUUGUGGCUUUAGAGUGGCUUUUUGGUUGAGCUUGUGGCUCUCUGUAUUGCUAUUGUGCGGUCGUUACUAAAGUUGGUAGAACUAGAGAAGCAAGCGGUCAGCAACAUUCGUCUCUCGAUGGGAUGUCUAACUCAGUGUUACAGUGUGUUUGACCCUAACUUAAUUUUACACCAGAAUAUCCCUUUAACUAGGUCCAUCAACAGACUAAAUGAACACCCAGGCAGCCAGCUUUGUUUUAUCAGCCCAGUAAUGUGUUUCUAUUUCAUUGAUAAAGUAACUUUUAUCUCCAUCGGACAUCAAAUAAUUAUGAAGAAGAAUCAUAAUAUUGUUACUGCAUUGCUGAUCACUCUCAUGAUUAAAUGUUCAUAUCCUCAUUCAUCUAGCAUCUAGUAAUGUUGAAUUACCUCGGUUAACACACUACAGUAAUGCAGUUAGUCUGUUUUCCAUUUAGAGGGAAUGGAUUUCAAUUGUAAGAGAAUAAAUGGGAAUAGACAAGCUAUGGGCAGAGGAAGAAAGAGGAGGGAAAAAAAAGGAUUGGUCUGAGAAAGACAAAUAUUGAUGUAAUCAAAAACAGGAGGGAGAAUGAAGUGUUCGGCAGAGAGCAGGAGAGAAAAAUAAAGAUGGAUAGACACCAGCGGAUGGAAAGAGAAAAAAAUAUGGGUUUAAGAAAUUCAAGGAUUACAGAGGACUAAAAAAGAACAUAGUCUGACCAAAAAGGAAAAAAAAAAGGGGGAAAAAACCCUUUCUUCAUUCCCUGACAAUAACCCCUCGACCUUAAGUAAAUUACAAGCAUGGGUACACAGUUCUGCUUUAAAGUACACAAAUCUCCAGCUACAACUUCAAAUCCCACUCAGCUACUGAACCAAGAACUCAAGUAGCUGACCACUCCACUUUCCCACUGUUCUGUAAAAAACAGGGAUGCAUUUAUUUGGUUUGUUUUAAAUAAAUUAACCUCUGCCGAAAACUACAUGUUUCAACUGUCCAUUUGCUGGCUCUACUCUUCCCUUGUCCAAAGGUAGAAUAAGUUCUUCUUAACUGAGUCCUUACAUUUUAAGUCAUUUUACUCACUCCUGAAGAACAUGCUUCAGUGCCCUUCAGCAGGAUCAAAUCUAAAGGCCUCAUUGCAUCUUGGAAAUGCAGGAAGUGUAUUCCUCCAUUAUUCUACUGCAGGUGGUAUGGGGCCUCACUGAGGGUGCCAGGACACAUGCUGAAACCGACACAUACUAAAACACUUGCAAACAGUCUUAUAGAAAGCAGGGCCCUGACCAGAGAUAUUUGACUAUUACGGUGCACAGAGUACAAAAUAAGGGUUUUAAACAAAUCAUGCAAUGGAAUAAAUAAAGUACAUGUGCACUCCUAGAAGGGACAAAUGCAUUUGUUUGUAUUUUAAUAAGAGACUUCUAUAUUUCCACCUAUAUUAAAGGGAGGGAGAAAAGACACUCUAAUUAGUUUGCUUUAUAUUACACCCAAAACACACCUUUAAAUAACCGAGGGAUUUAAUCCAACCUCUAUGCGUCCUGUGUCUCACUUUGCACCUAGGUUGUGCACUGCUUAAAACCUGCCUGUGAGGUAUUGAUGACAUGUGUGUACUGCUCAGCCAGUCCACAAAUUAAUCCAGUUGACCAGCUGUGCUCCAAUUGCUCUUAAAGCUGACUGAGUUUUCAGCACACUCUCUGUGCCGCCUGCGAACACAAUUUACGCCAGCUGAAUCUGUAGAUAUUUCUCCCUAACUGCACUUCCAUGCCUAUCUUGGCACAUCUCUGUGCACCUUGGUUUACCAAUUUCCCAAACUGUCUGCGCACAGGACUGCGCUGCACGGUUUUACCACUGUGGGUGGUUUGCCACCCUGCACCAAGCCACCAGAGGGCAAGAUUGCACCAACAGACCGGAAGAAAAUGUCCUAUUUAUUAAAGAAGAAGAAGAAGAAGAACUUUAUUGAUCCCCAAAGGGAAAUUCAAUUGUCUGUUGUCUCACAUAACAUAUCUGUAUAAGUUAUCUAGUAUUUACAUAAGAGUUAUAAAGCCUGAUGGCUGUUGGUACAAAAGAUCUUCUGACUCUUUCUGUCCUUCAGUGAAGAGAGAGGAGCCGUCCACCACCAUUUGCCCUUUGGUCCAUCAAGGUGUUGUGAAGUGGGUGAUCCAUGUUCUUAAGAAUAGUCUCCACCUUCCUCAGUGUAGAUCACUCCACCACAUCCUCCACUGAGUCCAGCUUGAGUCCUACCACAGAGCCAGCCUUUUUCACCAGUUUGUUAAGACGUCUUGCAUCUUUGUGUUUGAUGCUUCCUCCCCAGCAGACUGCAGCAUAGAACAGAACACUUGCCACCACAGACUGAUGAAACAUCUGCAGCAUCUUACUACAGAUGUCUAUUGAUCAGAGUCUUCUCAGGCAAAAGAGGCGGCUCUGCCCCUUUCUGUAGAUGUAGUCUAUAUUCUUAGACCAAUCCAUGUAUUUUUAUGAUGUCAACACUUCAAUGUCCACUCCACAGGUGUUCACUGGCUGAAGAGGGGGUUUGGAUCUAUGGAAGUCUAUGACCAUCACCUGUGUUGAGGAGGAGGCAGUUUUUGUGACUCCAGUCACUGAAGGCUCUUAUUAGAUCUCUGUACUCAGCUUCUUGUCCAUUUCCAAUACAUGCCACAAUAGCGGUGUCAUCUAAAUAUUUCUGGAUGUGUCAGGACUCAGUACUGUAUUUGAAGUCUGACGUGUACAGUGUGAACAGGAAUGGCUCCAGCACUGUCCCUUGUGGAGCCCCUGUACUGCUCGUUAAUGUCCCAGAAACACAGUUCCCCAGCCUGACAAACUGUGGCCUUCCUGUCAGGUAAUCUGUGAUCAAGGAAACACGGGCAGGAUCCACUCCCAUCUCUGUGAGCUUGUCUUUGAGUAUGGUGGGUUGGAUGGUGUUGAAUGCACUUGAAAAGUCGAAGAACAUGAUCCUCACAUAAACCCCAGGUUCCACCAGAUGAGACAGGGCACGGUGAAGCAUGUAGAGGACAGCAUCAUCCACUCCAAUGUGUUCUUUGUAUGCAAACUGCAGGGAGUCCAGUUUGUCUUAGACCUUAGGCCUCAGAAGACGUAGAUUGUUUUUGUUUUUAGAUUAUUGUGCUUGUUGGCUGGCUUUUUUCAGUUCAGUUAUGGCUCUAUGGUAGAGUCUGGAGGUGUGGGCACUGAGCACCCUGUAGUGCCUUUCAGAGGGUAGCAGAGAAAACAGGUGAUGACUCGGGUGGCUUGGAUCUCUGAGUAUGUUGGUGGUAGUGUGAAGGCAGUGUUCUGAAAAUGUCUUCCAGUGAGAGCAGACUGAGUCUGAUGAUCUUUUCUGGUGUUUUUAUGACUCGUUGCAGACCUUUCUGGUCAGUUCACAUACCAAGCUUUCAAGCAGUAUGUCAGAAUAUUGGAUGAAGCAGAGGUAGAAAGCUCUGAGCAGCUCAGCAGACAAGGUUUUUUUUUUUUUUUUUUAGUGUCUGCAGGAAGGAUAGCCACUGUUGAGCUGUUCUUACCAGAGUGAAGUUGAAUGACCAUGUUGGUUCUGAGGAACUUGAAGUUGGUGACCCAUUCCGCUUGUUUUCUCUUCAUGGUUAGGGAGACAUGGUCUUCACAAUCAAAAAUGAUUUCCUUGGUAGUGUUGUGUCAUUCAUGAACGUCUUAUUCAAAAAAAAAAAAAAACUGCUGAGUGAACAACGUGGAUGGAAUCAGUCCAAGACCUGAUUCGUUCUCUUCCCAGUUUAGUUGAGCUCAGCCGCCAGCAUGGCAUGCCAGUCAGGAGUGGAACUGCCACCUUUGACUCUUUGGCGAAUGGCACACAGCCAGUCAGCCAGUCAGCGAGUGAGCGAGCGGGCCGAGUUUCGUGAUUUGCUCACAGUGAGUGAACGAUAUGUAUCAGUCAGACUGUGAAUUAAACAAACGACUUCUGAGCAACUUGAGGCAGGCGGAGGAGGGAAGGGCAUAGCAACGUUUACGAACUGCCAAGCACCAGGUCGUUCACUGUGAGGAUGAACGUAGGCUGAGAUAAAACAGUGAAUUCUAGUGCCUUUACAUUAAUACACAUAAACUGUGUAUUAAUGUAAAUGUAAUGUAAACUUUCCUGCAAGAAGGAUUUUAUUUCAGCCGAUGUAAAGCAAUAUGCUAUUUGAUAUCCCCGCUACAGCUGCGAUGUUUAUUUAUUUUUAAUCUCUCCACUUAUCCGCGAUACAAAAGAAUGACUUGUGCUCGUUUAGUGGGCGUGCUGCUUGCUGCUGUGUUGUUUCCGGCGAUGGGGGAACACCGAGAGGUGAGUUUUUCAGGGCAGGGGAGUGAUUCUUUCCUGGGGUUUUGGCGGAUGAAUAAUUGAUAUGUGUCACCCAGUGAACAAUGCUGUGACUUCAGCAGCAGGGGAGGGGAGGGGCUGGUUUGGUGAACAAACUCCCAAUCAGCACGGCUGUGUCACUCACUCGUGUACUGCACCGGCAGGAUGGGGCUCCGAAGCAUUGACUGAUUCAGUGAACAAAUCUUUUGAACAAAUUGUUUUAAUGAAUGGAUUCGUAAGAUUUAGUACAGUCAAAAGAACUGUUCUUCCCAUCACUAUUCUUUGGUCUUUUUGAUGUGUAGUGUACGGUUGCUGUCUGUGCACCUGUCCAUCAGCCUGUCUAUUUCCUCUCUGUAGUGUGUUUCAUAAUUGUCCAAAAUCAGUCCCACCACUGUUGUAUCAUUUGUAUGCAUGUGCUCCAUCUAAUAUCAAUUGCAUGACAAAGAGCAGGACACCUGUGUGAGUUUGUGCUAAUUGACUCUUAAUGCCCACUUACAUAAAACGGACCAGCAUCAGUGACACUCUUUGCAUUUAUAUUGUGUGUGUGUGUGAGUACCCUGGAGGCCAUAAAAAUCAAACUAGGCCAAUUAACCGGUCCAAACACAACCUGCGGCAGAGAGAGACAGAGAAUGACAAAAUGUGCUGCAGAAAUGUCUGCCACUACGUUACCCAGACAAAAGACCUUUAGUCUGUGUUUGAUAAGAGCACACAGACAUUGACACAAGCCUUUGCAUUGACACACAACCAAUGUGGCCUUUUGACUAAUAAAGUGCCUCAUUAAAAGUUUAGGCAUUUUAUCCAAACUGCGUCACUCUUUCGGAAUAAUGCAAGAUGUUACACUCAGAGUGUCCUGGAGUCUUAUCGUUAAGAGCUUACAAAAAUGUAACGACCUCUUUGAAAAAAUUUGGCAUGGAUAUCCUGAUUAGUUUUUUAUUUUGUGUGACAGUUGAAGGCUGAAUUCUCGGACACAUGGAUAAUGCUAGAAUGGACACAUUAAGCUAUAGCACAAAGUUUAAAGCACAAACAUAAAAUCAUCUUCAGCAAUUUUCUAUUUUCGCAUAACUUCUGCUGAUGAUCACUUCAUGCACAUGUGUUAAAGUGUUGCACCCUGUUGUGUAAGCGAUCGCUGUUGAUUGCUCAACUUUACUGACAGAGUCCAAUAAUCACAACGCUUGCUCCUGCAAUUACCUUUCAGAACAUUGAGUGAAGCAUUGAUUUGUGAGAGCCACUAUUGACAUUUGUUACACGUGUUGUGUUUACACUAUCACACUGUGCAGACUGUCCGUCCCUGAGGGACAAGAUACAAGUCUGCAUUGUGUUAAUCAUCAAAUAUACAGCUCUCUCUUUUUUAGUUAUUUCAUUAUUGGAGAAGCAGUGAAAAACAAUACUAUCCUACAAAAGCCAACUUUGAGUAAAAUUAGUGUUGGUUUAAGUGCAUAUCAUAAAUAAAAGAUACAUUAAAACACUCAAAUAACUUCAGAGCAAUUACAAAUGAAAUUUUGCACUACACAUGCCAUGCCCUGUACCAACUGGUUUAAAACAGAGACAAUAAUCAAAUUAAGAAAAGAAAUAUCACUGACCAUGUAAGUAGAGGAUCUUCAAAGCACAAGGUCAGAUAUGGAAAUAUGUUGAAGUUUAAUUUGUUGAUUCAUCUAUUUGAUUAGUUUUCCCCUCCUCCCACAAUACUUGGCUGCAGCAGGGCCUUCCACAAGUCUUAAUCUGGUGUAAUUGGCUGUGGUUUUAUAGAUUUGUCUUCUAGAUUUCUGCUUGUCAGGUGUUUAGACUCAAUGCAACCAGCCACAGCUGUCAAUGACUGAUGCUGCUGUAUGUGUCAUGUCAGAAUCUAUACAAAAAAAAAAAUUUAAAAAAUCAUAUUGUCACUGUCCGAAGAAAAACAUGUAUCUCCACUUAUGGUGAUCUGGACUUUUUUCAAUAUAUGCAUUGUCCAUAAUGUUCCCUAACAGCCUGUAGCUUUGGUUAUCCAAAUGGCCAAUGGAAAGAUGUUUUAUUUCAUCAUCUUUUCAACAUUUAUCUCUAUUGGGUGUCAGAAGUGUUGAUCAAAGCAUGUAUCUCCCACCUCUGACCCUGAGUUGUCAUGUCUGCAAACAGUCUUAAUGUUGUGAUUGACUUAUUACAGGCCAGGGUUACACUACACGGAUGUCCUCACAUCAACUGAUGCCAACCUAAAACAUUUUUUUUACCAUGACAGUGUUGUUUACCUGCACAGUAAAAAAUGUGUCAAUAUUUCAGUGUAAACUUAUUUUAAACUAGAUAGAGUAUUUUCAACAAUAUGAAGAGUAAACCAACUCCAAGAAUAUAGUUAAAAGUAAGUGUAAAAUCCGGCAGACCUGCAAUGAAAAGGUUAAGCCUGGUAACACACUAAGGCAGAGGCUAGUUCAUCCCAAGGACAAAACACAGCGACAUAAACAGAGUGAUGUGGUGUAUGCUGUCCAGUGCAGCGAGGAAUGCUUGGACCUGUACAUUGGGGAAACUAAACAACCGCUUCACAAGCGCAUGGCUCAACACAGGAGAGCCACUUCUUCAGGUCAGGACUCAGCUGUCCACCUUCACAUAAAGGACACAGGUCACUCUUUCGAGGACAGCAAUGUACAGGUGUUGGCUCGAGAAGACAGAUGGUUUGAAAGAGGAGUUAAAGAAGCCAUCUUUACCAGGCUGGAGAAACCUUCUCUGAACAGAGGGGGUGGACUCAGGCACAAUCUCUCUGGCACAUACAAUGCAGUUCUCAGCUCUCUCCCCAGGAAGCUCCACAAACAUUCACACCUGGAACCACAUGACCCAGGUGUGGCAUGAGUCAUGUGGGCACACACCCAGAGAUGGGUUUCUAUGACCCAUUCUUUUACAACUCCUCCCAGUCUUUGUCUGUCCCCUUCUCCAGUAAGCUAAAUAUCUGCUCCUCACACUAGCAAUUUUAGAACUGAAGAAGCUUCCUGGAUAAGAGGCGAAACGUCUUCUCAACUCGACACAGUCCAGUUGCCUGUUUUUAAGUCUCCCUUUCAUUAUAACUCUUUGGGGGUCGGACUAAGCAUGGGCAGAGCUAUGCCUGAGACAGACCCCCAUCCUGAGUCUCUCACUGCGGGGCCUCUACAGAACCUCCCAGACCAACCAGACAUGCAACACUUCUCAUCAACGUCAUUAUCCAUCACAACAUUCACGCAUCAGACAAGAUAUACACACUCCUGAAACUGUAUUAAAUAUUCAAACUUAUAUCGUUGUGGCGUGGUCAUUGCUAGUGAAUUGAUUGUUAAUUUUGACACUGAAUGGAGUAGAAUUAACACUGAAAAUGUGACACUGGCCAUAGAAUUACUUUUACUCUAAUGUUGAGUGGGACCAAAUAUUACCGAAAUUGAGUUAAAUUUAACUUUGUUGUACACUCUGUUUUUUACUGUAUGUACGUUAGAUUUCUUGAACAGAAGCUCAUCUCCAGAGAUAAAGCUGCUGUGGUCUCUCCCCCUCACAUGUUUACUAUCACUUCACUUUGUUGUGUUUCCACUAUCUUUUGAUUCCCCCGCUGGCAUUAAAGUGAAAUCAGAGCCAGAGUUUUAUUGACAACUAAUUAAGAGAGUCAAAUAAGAACUCAAAGCACAUUAUUCAGUUGUUUUUUGAGUGCAUGUGCUUCAGCACCAUAAACAGAGCUCUAUCUGUUAUCCAUGCAAACCAUCAUGGGGGGUUCACAAACACCAGUGCAUGUUACAAUGGGGGUUCAGGCUCAAAAAUGUUUAGAAUCACUGUGCUAUGUGGAAUUGUAGGAUAGCCUGCUAUCAAUAGUUUACUAACAUUUAAUUUUUUUCAAAAUUUUAAUAUUGAAUUUCCCUUUGGGGAUUAAUAAAGUUCUUCUUAUUCUUAACACAGAGGGACAUAUACAGGAUACUCGAGGCUUGUAAAAAACCGAAGCUACCAGGGGCCUCAUGUAUCAACGCUUGCGGCGCAAGAAAACCUUGCGUACGCCAAAAUCGGCGCACACGUCCAGAUUUAUCAUCGCGAAACGAGCGUCGGUUCCAGCGCUAAUCAACGCAAAGUCAGGAGGUGGUGUAGAAAUUGGCGUUGAGCUGGAUAUUUGCGUUGACUGUGAUUCGCACUUUGGCGACGCUGUGUGGCGGUGUUUGGUGACUCACUAUGUGACCAGCGUGCACCACAUCCCCGUGGCCGGGCAGCACGUCGCCCCACAUGACGAACCAGCAGCAGACGGAGGGAUGCGAGCUGAUCCCUGCCGGGCCGCCGUCCUCGCGCGGGAGAAUCUCAUCGCCACAGUGUGAAUGGGUAAGAAGUGAAUACACAGUUCAAUGAGCCAAAUUAAUUUAUUUUCUCCACCAGACGCUCGAGGAAAUUUACGAGCCGGUCCAGCCGCUCGUUGAUCCCCGCGAUCCCCCUGAUGAUUUCUUCCUGCGAUUGCAGGACCCCCUCCGCGAGGACCCUUCCACUGCGUCCGGGUGGUCCAGCGGAAGCGCCGCGGCUGGUGGACGCUCCACCGCUUGUCGGCGCGCUGGUGCUGAUGCUGGUGCUGGGGCCGGGGGCCGGGGUGGCCCGAAUGCCGCUGGUCCUGGCCGACGACUCCGAGCCGGCGGACGGGCUGCCGCGGGCCAGGGUUCCGCAAGCCGGCGACACGGCCGACACAUUAAUUUCUGUGACACAAUAAAAAUAUUAGUUCAUUUCAAUUCCUGCUUCUGUGUAUCUGUUGCGUUUACAUCUCUCUCCACGGUAUCAUAGGUAAUGUAAUCCAGUAUUUCGAGGUCAGUUAUGCACAUUACAGUUGUUUAUUGCAUAAAAAGUUAUCGGAAAAUGAAGUUAAGGGCGAAGUAUUAAUCACGUCUAAAAAUAGACUGAAUCCCGACGUUGAAAUGAAGUAUAAACUUAGACUAGACGUCUAAUAUACGUCUUUUGCUCAGUGGGAUGACAAAGCAUGUGGACAUUUGUGUGACACGCCACUUACCCUAUAAUAAUAAUCGCCACCACCCGCUGCUCAAACGGUGUGAGGGUCUCCUCCCCCGGACCCCCACCUGUCUGGCCGGUACUCCUCCGGAGGGCAGCUGUACGCCGCUUGACCUCCACCUUGAGGUCCGACCACUGUUUUUUAAUCUCCGCGGGGGUGCGUGUCUCUCGGAACCCACCGCAUUCACCCUCUCGCAAACUUUCUCCCACUCCAAGCGUUUUUGUUUUGCACUGACGCCACUGGACAGGCUGCCAAACAAAACACGCUGUCGCUCCUCCACCUCCGCCACCAGCACCUCCACCUCGCACGCCGUAAAUGUAGUUUUUCUUGUCAUUUUGUCUGCGUGCGAGGACAGGGAGACCCUAUUUAAAUAAAUCUGCAUAUUUAUAGGAGGGCGUAACGAGGACGGGCCCAGUCACUCCGACAUCUGCGCUCAAUUCCACGCUGAUUGGGAUUUAUCAAGGAAACACACGUGGAUUUCGGCGCCCGCACACAUUGAUACAUACGGAUUUUUUUCAGCGUGACGGACCUUGCGUGCGCUCGUUUCUGGUAUGAGUUCCACGCAAGUGUUGAUACAUGAGGCCCCAGAUCAGCUAGUAGGACCAUUAUAACCAGAGCCAUUACAAAAAAUACAGCACAUAUGUCCACUACCACUCUCACAAAGUACGGAAGUCCAUUUAAAAUAUCAUAUAAGUCACUAAUGAUUGUGUCAAUGUAGAUUUUCAUUUCAGGUCCUAAUUGUGUCAAAAUAAAAUAGCUGACCAAUACAGUCCCACCAUGAAAGAUCCUGAAAAAACAAUGUACCUCUGUACCUUGAAAAAAAAAUGCAUGUCAAUAAUUCAAUUUUUUUUUCCAUACUGAAGACAAUGCAACAUCUGUGUUAAGAUUACAGUAAUUUUUUUCAUUAUUGUUGUUGUUAUUUAAUCUGUGUGUGUCACCAGAUUCUCACACCUCCACAAAGACUUUUGUUGAUAUUCAAGCCGUACCUCACACAUGUAGGAGAAAUAAGGACUGUGACAGUCAGCAGGGCAUCAACGCAAAAUAAAAUAAAAUAAAAUAAACUAAGCAGAGUAACUUGGACUUCAGCAUGUUCCACCUAAAUGUAAGUCCAGUGCUCAACAACAGAUACUGGCGUGUAUCAAAUAUCAUCCACAAUCAACUCUUUCAGUUUUCAGGGGUCUUCUGGGCCUAGAGGGCCUAAUAUAGGGUUUACACCAUUUGCAAACUAUCCAACUUAUUUUUUGUCAGCUUUCUAUAUAGCAACCAAACAAAGAAAUUUAACAUGACAGUGGCACAUCCUGAACCAUCAUUUCUAUAUGUUACAAUCAGGUACAAGUAAGUGUUUUAUAACAUCAGAUUUCACUCCUUAGCCAUUUUUCAACAAUACUCUAUCAGAAGAGCAAGCUAAGUUCCAUACGUUUUACCUCUCCACUGGUGCCCAGGCACAUGCACCACCUGGUUAAAUGUUCCGACACAAAGAGUGCUCUCUAGCAGAGUGUAUUCAGACGGUUAGACAUGGAUCUCCAUCACCGCCUUCAUGCUUUCUCCCGGGUACACGACAUCUUUAGCGCCAGGCUGCCUAAUCACCAUGCAAAGGAUCACCCUGCCAAUUACAGAGACACAAAGUGACUUUCACGACCCUGUGGGCGCAGCAUGUAUUCAGCUAAGUAGAAAUUAUUCACCCUGCAUGUAUAGUAAGCCCUCAUCAGCAGCGCAACCCUUGGCAGUCACACUGCUGGACUGGGAGACUCUCACAUAGAUGAAAUCACCCACUGACCUGCAGGGAAAAUGGCACAUGUAUGCAGUCUGUGUGUCACAAGGGCAAGGGCUCGUGUGUGCACUCAUGUGUGUGCUUGUGUUUGUGUGAACAAUAAUUUGAACUAUUAUUUCUGCAUUCUAAACUUUAUCUCUGCAUUUCCUACAUGCAGAUGGCUCUUUUAUUUCACCGGUGCCUCGCAGGCUUCAAAUCACAAUGCCUUCAUGAGCACUUAGCCAUCAAAUGGUCCAGUUGGAUUAAUAUAACUGCAGUCUCAUAUUAACCCAUAUCGACACACACACACAUGCACACACACACUGUGCAGCAGACUCAAAAUUAAGCAGUCACAUAGGUGCUGAAUGCAGCAAAUCAGUGUCCAAGUGCCUGAUGUAGAUCAUAUGACCCUUUUCUUCAUUGAAUCCCACACAUGCAUUAAACAUAAGCCAUAUGUGCCUCUACACAUAAUCAUGCAAAUAAUUUGUAUAUUCCCUCAUGCUGUAUAUUCAAGCUUUCAUGGCCUUAAUGACUUACCUUCUCUGUUAAUCAUCUUGGAUAUAGAGAGGGGACACAUCCACCAAAACAAUGAUAACAGAGGUAAGUGAUCAUGGCUGGUACCGAUGAGGACUGUCUCUGGGCUCAUUAGCCAUCAGCAGGAUGGGAAACGUGAGGUGAAAUAUUUGAUUACAGAAUCAUCUGAAAACAAAUCAUUAAAUAAAUAAACAUCCAAAGAGGCAGGAAAACACUACUCUUUUUUGUUUUGUUUUGUUUUCAUUUGUGUGCUUACAUUCUCUCAAGGCAGACAACUGAUUAAUUAUGAAAAUAGGAUUUUUGGAAUUAAUUUUUACAAAUCUAGGCAAUCCUUUUGCAUGACAAAGGACACUACAGCUGCUGUUACCUGGAUAAUAAUAAUAAUAAUUAUUAUUAUUAUUAUUAUUUUCUUUUUUUUUCUUUAUGCUUGAACCCAAAGCUGAAUAAUCAGUAAGUCUCCUUCACUGAUUGAAACCCCACAGAUUUCUCACUAAUCAACUGUUGAAGAGCAGAUUCUGAUCGGUCAUAACCGAUUACAGCUGUCAUUAACUCUGGAUGUUAAGAGCAAUACCAAGGACACCCAGAUUACACACACUAUUGAAUCAAACUGUGGAGAGUUUAUGAUUCUACCUCUGCUUGUAGGUGAAAGGGAAAAGAAGUUAGUCUAUGAUAACAUCACUAAACAACUUGGAGGGAAUUCUAAUAUUACCCUCUGGGGCUGUUGCGAUAAGCCACGAUAGCUGUCUUUGAAAUAAAGUAAGUAUUUGCUAUUGAACAAUAGAGAAUAAGCAUAUCAUGCUGAUGUGAGUUUAAUGUAGUGGUCCUGUACGCCUGUUGCCACAUCAUAAAAUUGAAGAACAAUGAAUAAGCAGCAGACAGUGUUUAGGUUGAGGGGCUCUGAUGAUCUCAGCUGGAUACAAUGGAGACUGAUGACCAUGGCUGCAAGAACAUAGCUAAGGACAAGAAUAAAAGGCUGUUUCAGCUUCCAUUUUCAGUUCAGGGGGAGUGUCAUGCUUUUCCACAUCUACAACAAAACUGCAAAGUUAGAAAGUUUGUUGUCCGUCAACGUGUAUGCAAAGUUUCAAAUCACAAUAGGGCCUUCCUUCUUUAAAUCAGAUUGUUAAGCACAAUUAUUUAACCGCUCAGAGUAAUGUUUUGAAAGACAUGGACAAAUGGAUGCUCCUCCCUAUGUCGCUGCAAGCUCGUAUCUCUGCGGUUAAAAUGGAUAUUUUACCUAGGAUAAAUUUUGUGUGUUCUAUGCUUCCUUUGUCUCCCCCUGCUGGUUACUGGGCUAAACUACAAUCAGCGGUUUCUAAAUUCAUCUGGAAAGGCAAACGACCGCAGCUUAAAAUGACAACCCUACAAAGGAGAAAAGAAGGUGGCAGCCUAUCAGUCCCGACUUUAAACUCUAUUUUUGUCCUUUGUGUUAAGGCCUCUCCUCAUUUGGUUUAAUUCAGACAUAUCAUCUUCAUGGCGUGCCUUAGAAGGUGCUAAAACAGAGCCAUGGUUAUUACAUGAUGUUCUCUUUGCCAACAUUUCUGAUAAACAGUGUCAAUUGCGCUUUGGUCCUAUUAUCUCCCAUCUGAUAAACGUCUGGAGAGCGGCUGAAAACUUUUUACACAUUUCUUGUAUUUGGCAUCCACUCUCCCCAAUAUUCAACAAUAAAUCACUUCUGAUUGGUAAGAGGCCCAUUACAUCACCUCAGUGGGAACAAAGAGGGAUUCAUUACUUAAGAAAUAUCUUCAAUGAAGCUGGUUUAUUAUCUUUCACUGACCUGCAAGGUGCAUUUGGUCUACCGCGUUCAUCCUUUUUCUUUUAUCUUCAGUUAAGAUCAGCACUUACAGCUCAUGGCGUCCCAUGGCAGAGUCCCUUGGAUAACCAUCCAUUGAGAGAAUUGUAUGCUCCCCAGUCUGGCACCAAGGGCCUGCUGUCUUGCCUUUACCAUUACCUAAUAACACCCAGUUGCCUGGUCUUCCUGUAGAGACGAUCUGGAAGUGUGACUACCCAGAUCUGAGCAGCGAAUUUGAUUGGCAUGUUGUCUGGCCGAAUGUCAAAGAAACAUCACGUAAUCCAGACCAUCAACAGAUCCACUUUAAUUUCAUCUAUAGAACAUAUCUGCACCACAUGAAAAUCAUUAACAGCCCUUUAUGUACCCUCUGCUCAACUCAGGCCCAAGGCACUUACUUUCACAUGUUCUGGGACUGUCCUCCUGUCUCCCAAUUUUGAAACAACAUAGUGUCCCAUCUAUCCACCCUGGUCAAUAUCUCUAUACCGGUCAAUAUACCUGUUUUGGUUUUCAAUGAUCUGUCUACUCUCCAUGUCUCCAAAAUACUAAAGCGUGUUAUCUACGCUGGACUCACAGAAAGAAAAGAAAAUGGUGGCAACCUGCUGGAAAUCCCCUCACGACCUCUCUACCCGCACCUGCACUCUUUCCUUUCUGGAUGUCGUAAUCAUGGAACUCUCUACAGCUCGUAUAAAUGGAGCUUCGAAAAGGAAAACUUUGGACUCUUGGCUUGGGAUUGCUGAAUCCUUGAAACGAAUGUUGAUUUUGCUCCUCUACCCUGACUUAAAGAUGUCUAUCACCUGGUUGUUUGUCCGUGUGUUUGUUUGUCUUGUGUGAUGUAUGUCUACCCCUUCCUAUUCCUCCCAUGUAUGUUUUUCAUUAUUUGUUCUAUGCACAUAGGCGUGUUCCGUGCCUUGGGCAUUUUGUAUCUAUGUAAUUAUAUGUGAAUUUCUCAAAUAAAAAUUUUUGAUCACAAAAAAAAAGAUUCAGAAUCAAUUAUCCCGAUUUGAUUCAAUAUCUAUCAUUUUUGUGAUAGGUAUCAUUGGCUUCAGAGCUUUGCAUACAUCUGCAUCUGCUAUGUCUUCCUCUCUCAGGGUGCACAGUUCUUUUUCAUUUCCGCAGACUUAGGGUGCGAGCAGAGCAGCAGAUAUUGCAGGUUGCUGUUCUAAAAAGUGCUAUAACAUAUCUAGUCCGUUGUUCUAAUGAGUCACGACAUCAAAAGUGAGCUUGUGCUCCUUCGGCUGCAGUAACUGCUGCAUUUCUUUGAGGCUGUGGGUGGCUGACGUACUGCAGUGAAAGUACUUUGUGAUGUGCCUCACUCUCUCAAGCAGGCGUGCAACAUGUGGGAGUUUGAGACCGGCUUGCGAUGCAAGGUUUAUAAUGUGAGCGAAGCAGCCUACAUGCGUUAGCCCCAUUAUCUCAACUGCACGGACCAUAUUUGCCACGUCGUCGGUCACCAUAGCUGAAUCCUUGCUUGUCAGCCCCCACUUCUGUAUCGCUCUCGUCAACAUUGCUGCUAAACUGGCAGAGCGAUGGUCAGUUUCAACUUUGGUGGUUUGUAGCACAUGAAAGAAGGAGGUUCCACUCAUUAUCUAUGUUAUAGUCAUGAAAGACACCAUAGCCAUGGAUGUCCAUGUGUGGCUGGUAAUACCGACCCUUUGAGCCGACUUCAGCUCACCCUUCAUGGUUUCUUUAUCAGAUCCGUACAUUUUUGGGAUAACUGUUUCAGACAAAUGUUUUUGAGACACCAUCACGUAGAGUGGUUCUGUCAUCUUCAUCAGACGCUUAAAUCUGACAUUUUUAGCCUUUGUUUCCUUUGUUGUGGCCCCGACCUAGACGGCUCAUUUAUCAUAUUUGCGUGAUGUCUCAACGUGUGGUUGCGGAGAUUAGUGGUAUUCCCACGGUACUUUACUUCAAGUUGACAAAGCUUGCAAGUUGCUUUGCUUUUGUCAAGCACAUUAGUCCCAAGACUGUUUCUAAAUCUGAAAUGCUGCGAUAUAUCAGAGACUAUCUGGCGUUUUUAAAAGGGCUUUGUUAUCACUAGUCACCGGAGUCUCUGUCUCUGCCACCAUUUUGCAUAUUUUGCUCUGCACUCAUUCGUGCGUCAUAUGCAUGAUGAUGCGACUUGUAGGGUUAAAGUUCAAAGCAAGAUAAGAAAUGAAGAAUAUUGUUAAACAUUGAGAAAAAAAAUGAUAUUUGGAUGUACGAAUUGAUAUUGGGGAACUGGACAGAGAAUCGAUCCAGAAUUGGUGAACAGAUUUUUUAAACUCAGGCUUAAAUCACAAGGUCAUUGUAUUUUGUCACUGUCAAAAGAUGUAAACUGUUCAAAACAGGAGCCUGCUUGAAGAGACUCUCUAAAUGCCUGCAUCGGCAUAAUAGUCUCUCCCUACUAGCUGAUCUGUGCAAAGCUGAACGGCCUGGCUCCAACAGACAUUACCCCACUCUGCUGCUCUACUGGUUGAGCACAAUAGAGGGGGCAGGGCCAAGUUAUCAAGCUCUACCCUUGGCCAGCCAAUCAGAAGUAAGUGUGUUCAUGGGGAGGCUUAAAGAGACAACAGCUAAAACAAUGGUUUCAGACGGAGGCUGAAUAUUUUCUUUUUAUUUGAAAAUCAUGUGACGAUAUGAAAGAGAGAUCAGACAGGAAGCACAAAGUCUUAAAAAAAAGCAUAACCCCCCCAUUCUUAAGUAAUGUCAAUAAUGUAUGAAGUACAUGAAAUACAUGAAAUACAUCUUCAACAGAAGGUAAUAGUGUUUAUAGCAGUGGAUUAAUGUACAUUUUGAGAGUCAAGAAAAGCACUUAGAAAUAAAAUGUAAUAUUUUUGUGCGAUUUCGUGCUUCAGUUAGGCAGUAAACUAUGGAAUAGAAUAAAUUACCACCACACCGCCCAUGUUCCUCGUAAUGAAGCAACAUGUCAUCCAGUGCUGCUCAAUGCAACAUGCUGUUUAUUUGGAGCAUUUUUUAAUAAUUACUUUAAAGGUCAAACAGAGAAGAGAAGGUCUUAUAUGAACAGCUUAAUCAGGAUGAACAGGCCUCACCUGAAACUUUAACCUGCUGGGUUUGUUGUUCCCCUUAAACCAAUGAAAAACAAAUUAAAUUUUGUAAUGGGCUUCAACUGUAACUGGAUAUUUCAUUACCCAGCAUGAUGGAGGAAUUUUGCUAACCUGUUUUUAAGGCUUAUUAGUGCCACCUCUAAAUAGGGCAAUACAAUGGUUUAAACAAUGUUUGAUCAAGAGCAAUGAUGCCAGUAACAGGCUACUCCAAUAAAUCCACUUUUGACCUUGAAACAAUCAUGUAUUCACGUGUAAUACAUGUGCGCACACACAUAAAGCAGCCGCAGCAAAACGUACAUAAACAACGAUGGAGGGAGGAGAGAGAUGCGCAUUCUCAAGCUGGAAAUACAGCCACUAUUUCGACUUUGUGUCAGCUAAAGAUAACGAUAUGCAAGUGGUUAAAAUGGUUGUCAUUUAUAUGUUGAGGCUGCUGAAUGUAACUCAAAAAAUAACUUGGUAUCUUAUUUAGUUACUUUACGGAUUACUUCCAGACUUCCUUGUUGUUCCAACACUGUAUAGACCUUGUUUACAUGUAUGUAUCAAAGCUGUGCCAAAGGCUAUGCCUCAGGUUGCCCCCGUAGCCUUGUACCCUAUGAAGCGGCGCAGCCCGGCGUAAGUAUCCCCCCUCCCUAACUCAGCUCCUCCCAGCGGUGUAAGUCAUAGGGAGGGAGGAGAGGGGGUGUGGAGUGGAUUUAACACAGCCAAUAACAUGUAUUGACUGUAUUGACCAAUAACAUGAGCUCCUCUCCUCACCUUUAAAUCCACCACCGGCGAGUCGUAUUACAAUUUUCGUGAAGUAGUCAAAGUGAUCAAGAGAUGUCUGAAAACAGCAAUGCCAGACGAUGGCGACAGAAGGCAGCUCCUCAACAAGUGUCACUGUAAACACUGCAGAGGGCGUCCUUCACACUCUCAAAUAAGCACAGAUGGAUUUGGUGUGUGUAAUGCUGGACCCACUAGUACAGGGGUGGGCAAUCAUGUGCCAUGGAGGGCCGAGAGGCUGCAGGUUUUCUUUCCAACCCAAAACUCCACCAGGUGAUUUCACUGAUUAGUCCCUGCUCUCUGCUUGGAGGUAAGGUAAUCAGUGAAAUCAACUGGUGGAGUUUUGGGUUGGAAAGAAAACCUGCAGCCUCUCAGCCCUCCAUGGCACAUGAUUGCCCACCCCUGCACUAGUAAGACAAACAUCCCUUUCCACAAAUAAAGACACUCACAUAAAGUUGCACAUAUUCAAACCUCACAUGACAAAGGUGGGUUUUGCGCACAGAUCACGAAAUAAAUUCCAAAAAUGGCAUUAAAAUCGGAACCAUCUGUGUGUAAAGGACGCAUCGCACUCUGUGGCCUGGCUCUUUCUUUCAUAGAUGUUGGCAUAUAAAAUAAAUUUGGCUCACAAAACUGAAUACUAUAAACACACAAACUGAAUAUUAUAAUAUUAUAAGUAAAUAACUUAUCUGAUCACUGAAACAAAUCAUCUGUUCAGCCGCCACAGCAAGCAGCUGCAACAGGACGGGAAGAGGACACAGAGGCAUGGCCAAGUCUGACUGCGCAAGAAAUAAGAGGAAGAGGAAGAAAGAAAAGGAGGGAGACGAAUUACAUAUCUUGUUAACUUUAUCAUGUGUGUCUAUUUACUAGAUAUUUAAUUUAAUUCAAUAAGGUUUCAGCUGUGUUGAUUUGGUCAGGUUGUGUGUCCAAACGAGUGACAAACUCGCUAAUCUGAUCAGAUAUAGAUCAGAAUAUAUCUAUAUAGAUCUAAAUGUAUGUGCUGACUCAGAUUAUUAGUUGUUGAUGAUUAUUUAUUGCACUGAAAUGUGCCUGACACUGUGGAAACCUGCCGGUGAGGCAUCAGUGACAUAUGCCAAUACGGCGGUCUACCAAAAUACCACUAGACCAGCUGCGCUCCGCCUGCGCUGAAGGCUAACCAGGUUUGAAUCGGCGAGCUUUCAGCGCACUGAUUCUGUCGACAUCUCCCCCUGCCACGCCACCACGCCCAGCUUGGCAGACCUCAGCACGCCCCAGUCCACGAGAAUACCAAACUGGCUGUAUGCCGGGCUCUGCCAGAUGGAAAUACCACUGCGCAGGGUCCGCCACCCUCCGCCGCGUCCCCGGCGGACACAAUAAUAGAGCCGUAUGUCUCCGGAUGCUGAGGCUCUUCUCCUGAUCUGGCUCAUGGCCACUUCUUGAUUCAUCUUUUACUGCAGGGUGGUAUUAAAAUGAACACAAAUAAGACUGAGGAAAUCAAUCAAAUCAAUCAAAAAUAAUGCCAAGUGACUUUGAACAUCUUUCUUUAUUCAAACACAACCUCCAGUGACACUGCACACACUGUUCUGGUGCAGUGGUUGUACUUAAGAGCCAUGGUCCAUCUGAAGCAAGUAUUAGGUAGCCUAUUAAAAUAAAUUACAGCUGUGAUUGGGUAUAGAAUAGAAUGCUUUAUUCUUACAUUGACAAUACACAAAGUGUGUGCCCUGCUCCAUUAAGGUACGUAACCCUGAAAAUAAGCCAUUAUAAAGCCACACACUAUGGAGCAAAGAGCCAUUGCGCACCACCAUCUGUUUACAAUACGCAUCGAUAUCAUAUAUUAAACAUGGGACUGUGUUUUUGAUUUUGAUGUGGCACGUUUCUUAGAACCCCAUGAUUAGAAAGUCAGACUGUAAAAUGUAGUGAAAUGGGUAUUCACUAAAUCGACUGCACUUCUCAACAAUGUUAUCACUCACCAACAAGCUGUAGUGUAAGGUAGAGGAGAUCAACAUUCAAAUUUAUGAUCAUUUUGUCACAAUAUCUCAUAAAUGUAGCAAAUGCCAUUGGCCUUGGGGCAAAGAGUCGAUCAUCCUGCGCUGGGCUUCAGUUCCUGGUGGGUCGUAUACACAGGCUGCUGAAGAAGGAAAAGUAUGUUAAUUGUGUUGGAGCUAGCGCCCCUGUCUACCUCACUGCUGUGCUUGAGAACCUGACUGCUGAGAUCCUAGAACUGGCUGGAAAAGCCACCUGCAACAACGAGAAGACCCAUAUCACCUGCAGCUGACUGUCCACAAUGAUGAGGAGCUAAAUAAGCUGCUGGGCAGAGUGACCAUUGCUCAGGGAGGAGUGUUGCCCAACAUCCAGGCUGUGCUGCUGCCCAACAGGUUCUAGAAGAACGCCAAGAAGCAAAGAUCCUGAUGUAAAUGUAGUAAACCAACGGCUCUCAUAAAGCACCUUAAAGCCAAGCAUUUUGAUUCAUGUAUGACCAGUUACCUUGAGAAGUUUGAGGUCUUUUACCUGAAGCAGAGGGGUUGGCAUGGAUAUAAGAGAGUUACCGUCACCUGAAGGUAGUGUUAGGGGAUGGUGGGUGGGCCACACAAUUGUGGAUUUUGAAAUGUAUUUCUCUAAUAAGGUCUCUGAGAACAGCAGACUCAACAGUUUGAAUGUGAAGCAUGUCUCCAAUAAGACACCUUACAGUCAGUCUGUCCAGAGGGGUCAGUCUCAGUCUUUCUUGAAUGCAGAUUAUGGAGCUGGUGGUGAUUUCUAAAUCAAGCAUUGGCUUUGUUGAUGGAGUAGCUCCUCAUUGGUCUGCCAAGCUAACUUGAGCUGCUGCGAGGUCAGCAGUGUUUUCAGCACUGGGCUCUCUGGAGUAGAAGCAUGUUAUUGUUUGCUUAGGUGCUUCAGAGACUAGAAUUACUCAUCUCUCAUGUAACAUACAUAGACAACAACUUGAUGCUAUAUUUAUGUCAUUGACCUUGGGAAGAGGAGUCAAUGAUGUUCCGAUAUUUCCAAGAAAGACGGCCCCUGCUGAAAUUACUAUGAGCCAUUGUGUGUGUGUUUACUGUAAGUGAUAGAUGUUCCCUAAAGAUGCUCCUGUGCUGUGCUGAUGCUCCUGAUCUGCUCAAACUGAUGGUUCUUAUGUAACUGUUGACUACGCGCUAUAACAUUGUUCAAUAUUUUAAUGAUUGUAAUGGCUGUAUUGACUAGCAAAGUAACUAAAUAGAAUGUUAGUGACUCAAAGAGUAUUGGAGUUACUCACAGAGGUGUGCAUAAACUUUUCAUAGUCAUACUACCUGUUAUGAUAAACCACCUUAAUGUCAAUGAGGAAAACAAACUAAACACAGCACAGACCUCACUGAUUCAAAACACAAGAAUCAAUGCCAGGUGUUAGGUUUUUAAGUACAUUAAACUCUUGCAUUGAGGCAUGCAAACACACGCGCGCACACACACACACACACACACACACACACACUCAGAAUAAGUGUCAAGUCUUGUUGCAGCAGCACCUCGAUGUGCCUCGAUUAAUGACUCAACACACUGUUAACUUUCUUACACACACCCAGGAAAUUAUGGCUGUAUAUACACACACAAUACUACACAAACACACAGCAGCAAGUAUGAACUGAUGCACACAUUACAGUGCUGUACAGUAUUGUAAUAAAUGAAGAAAUGAAACACAGACAGACAUAAAAGCAGAUACACACGUACACACACACACACACACACACACAAACACAAACACACACACAAACUGUCUCUGUUUGCCAGGGUUCAUUAAUUUCACAUUAUCAGGUGAUUAGGAGUUGUGAUUAAGAAGCUUGUAGGAGAGAGACGAGACACCGGGAUGAACAUUGAUUCUUCAUUUUCUUUUAAUGUCACACAGAAUUUAAUGAGCUUUGACGAUAUUUAAAUUUAAUUGUACUAUAGAAAUAAGAAAUCCAAUACUAAACCAGUGUGAUGGACUGUUUUGUUUCAGAGCACCAAGAUUAAUGUGUUUGAACAAAUUAGGGUUUAAAAUUAAACUAAAAUUUAGAAUUUCCUUAUUUCUGUGUGAGGAAAUAUGAUGUUACUACAGCUGCUGUGUGUGAACAAGGCUUCAAGCUAUUACUCUCUGCGGGAUAUUUUCUCUUUAAUCCCUGAUAAUGAACAUAAACGGUGCUGCUGCUGCUCACAGGUUCAUUGGGCACUGGUAGUUCUUUUCAACAAAGCAAACAGUGAGGUGCUCCUUACACAAGGUUUCCUAGAUGGAUACAUAUCUCUUAACAUACGCAUUUAACUGUAAAGUUAAGAAAAAUUCAGCCUUUUCUAUAGGACAAAUGAAACAUUAGAAAAAGAUGUGUUCAUAGUGCACUGUAUCAUUUAGGUUCAAAAAUAGCCCAGCAACCCACAAGUUAGGACACCAUGUAGGCUGUAUUGGCUGAGUGAGAUCGUGUGGGUUCGUUCCACUUCAGUGGGGCAACAUAAACUGUGAUUCAUAAAAUAGCUCUAUUGAUAGUAAGUACUAUAAAUAAAUAUCUACUCAUGCCAUCAUGACGAUUUUUAGUAAUCAGUGUUUCGGUGUUGAACUAUUUCCUUUCUGCGGCUUAGUGAUACUUGCACACGCGCAAUCGAAUAUGCAGGUGGUGAAGCGAUUUUUGUCAUGUGGACCAAUAGGAGCCGAGUCUUGUUGCCAUAGUAUCAGAAAUACACAAACAUGGUGACGAGCGCAUCUAGCAGCGAGACAAGUGAAGAGGAAAAAAAGAAAAGGAAAAAAAGAAAACAGCCUUCAAAAGUGCAUAAAAAAGAACAAAACGAUGUUAUAUGCAUCUAUCAUCUGUCCAGAGUGAAGAUGUUCUCGACUUUACAAGGACACGUUGGGAAACUUACAGAACUAGUAUUACAAAGUGGCUUUCUCUACAGGGUGAGACAAAGGACCUUGCAGAAACUUAUAAACAUUGCGUUGAUAUCGACUUUGACAAUGUUCCUGAUGACGCUGGGUUUCACAUGACAUGCUACCAGCCAUUUAUUUGCAAAAGGGGUUUGAGAAACAAGAACGUGAUGCAGCCGCGGGUCAGCCAAACCCCUCAGGCAGCAUCGCCAAUGCAUCCACGUCCACAGCAUCUGAAACUGUGGUGAGACGCCUCCUCCUCUUGUUUGUUGUUUAUUGUUGUUUAUUUUGGUUGGACUUCCUGUGUUUCUUUGUUUUCAUGGUCUGGCUUGACUCUUUUCCAGAGCUCCCUCCCCUCCCCGGUCGCUGAGGCUGAGUGAGACUCCACACCUGCUCUACAUCUGCAAUCAAGGCACUUCAAGAAGCCAGCAGCCCUCAGUCUCAGCGCCUGACUAUUGUCUUCACUCCCAAGUGGUACAGACGCGUCUCCUGGCCUCCUCUUUGAUAAGUGCUUGUAAUUUUGCUCCUCGUGAUCCAUUGUAUGUCUCCUAACAUCCUUCUCCUCUGUUUUCCCCACAGUGUCUCCAGCCCACACGACAGCCAGCCAGCCUACCGGAC